Long non-coding RNA from Peromyscus eremicus (cactus mouse), 1178 nucleotides. RefSeq lists it as uncharacterized. The transcript has 4 exons. NCBI's taxonomy places the organism in Eukaryota, Metazoa, Chordata, Mammalia, Rodentia, Cricetidae. The record is from RefSeq and is a predicted model, not a curated record.
UUCUGCUUCUUUCAAAUCCCUUCCACCCACUGCAGCUCUGUAUUUAGGAACCUCAGGGCUACGCAGCCUGAACGAGAGCUGAAGGAGACUCAGCGGGCAAGACUGUGUUGCCACAGCACCUGUUUGGAUACCAGCCAUGUACUCAGUAAUGUCCUAUCAAAAUCCAGCUUAUGAUUGCAAUCCACCAUGGCAGCAUUGACACGGCUUCCCCGAUGACCUCUCUGCAUUAUUUGUGUAAAUAAUGUAGGACUACUUAAAAACAUGUGCUGGCCUGCUGGAAGUAUAAUUCCGCUGACAGCAUGUUGGUGUCUAAGCCAAGGUUACAAGAGGGAUACCUCAGAAUUUGCAUGUGGACCUCCAUGCAUUCCCUAUGUGGGGCAUUCUGACUAAUGCCUGCCACCUCAUGAAGAAAAAGCAUCCCGUGAGAAAAGAAGAGUUUGCCAACUAUGUUCUGCUCCAUCCUAUGCCUUACUCCUGCUUUCCACCUUGACUUUUUGAUGCUACAAGAUUAUGCUAUAUAAUCUUCCUACUUCAACAACCUCCCAAGUGCUAGCAGAGAACGCAGGUUACUCUUUUAUUAUCACAUUUUAAAUCUUUCUCAAUCUCUUAGCAGAUAAUAAAAAAUUUGCAAAUACUUUCCUAUAUUCCGUAAGCUAUCUUUUUACUUUCCUGAUGUCUUUUAAAUCUCCAAUAUUUUUAAUAUGAAGUCCAAUUUAUUUGUUUUUUCUUUUCCUGCUGUGUUUUAGGUACAAUAUCCAAGAAAUCACUACUCAAAAGUCACAAAGCAGGCCAGAGAGAUGAGUCAGAAGUUAAGAGCACUUACUGCUCUCACAGAGGACCCAGGUUUGGUUCCCAGCACCCAUAUUAGGUGGCUCACAACCACCUGUGACUUCAACGCCAGGGAUCCAACACUCUCUUCUGGCCUCUGUGGGCACAUACAUAGAUGUAGAUACAUGCAUAUAAAUAAAAAUAAAUCUUAAAAAAAUACAUUAUAAAAUGGUUGCAGUCCAGACUGUGUGUUCUUCUAAUAGUUUUAUAAUUUUAGCUCUUAUUUGCAGGUCAGUGACAUAUUUUAAUUUUUUUGUUUCUUUUGUGGCAGGGUAUUCUUGUGUAGCCCAGGUUAGCCUUAAACAUGAUAUGUAGCCUAAAUAGGCCCAGAGCUUCAAAUCAUCUUACCU